UGGCCUUGACAUAAACAGAAUUCAGUAGAGAUAUAGAAGUGCUAGUUUACUAGAGCUGUUAUACAGGUGCUGCACGGCUGUCGUCAGCUCGUGUCGUGAGAUGUUGGGUUAAGUCCCGCAACGAGCGCAACCCUCGCUAAUAGUUACUAACGGUUCGGCCGAGGACUCUAGUGAGACUGCCUUCGUAAGGAGGAGGAAGGUGAGGACGACGUCAAGUCAUCAUGGCCCUUACGGCUAGGGCAACACACGUGCUACAAUGGCCAGGACAGUGAGACGCGAUACCGUGAGGUGGAGCAAAUCUAUAAACCUGGUCUCAGUUCGGAUUGUAGUCUGCAACUCGACUACAUGAAGCUGGAAUCACUAGUAAUCGUAGAUCAGCUAUGCUACGGUGAAUACGUUCCCGGGUCU
This 408-nucleotide ribosomal RNA is filed under the name uncultured bacterium. Its description in RNAcentral is "bacterial SSU rRNA". It matches the Rfam family "Bacterial small subunit ribosomal RNA", at positions 976 to 1381 of the family's 1533-position model. The record is from RNAcentral.